UACGUAGGGGGCAAGCGUUGUCCGGAUUUAUUGGGCGUAAAGAGCGUGUAGGCGGCCAGAUAGGUCUGUUGUAAAAACUCGAGGCUCAACCUCGAGACGCCGAUGGAAACCAUCUGGCUAGAGUCCGGAAGAGGAGAGUGGAAUUCCUGGUGUAGCGGUGAAAUGCGCAGAUAUCAGGAAGAACACCCGUGGCUAAGGCGGCUCUCUAGUACGGUACUGACGCUGAGACGCGAAAGCGUGGGGAGCGAACAGG
This 253-nucleotide unclassified non-coding RNA is filed under the name uncultured Gaiellales bacterium. RNAcentral describes it as "contains 16S-23S intergenic spacer region". It matches the Rfam family "Bacterial small subunit ribosomal RNA", at positions 524 to 776 of the family's 1533-position model. The record is from RNAcentral. Lineage: Bacteria; Bacillati; Actinomycetota; Thermoleophilia; Gaiellales.